Long non-coding RNA from Hylaeus volcanicus, 1343 nucleotides. RefSeq lists it as uncharacterized. The transcript has 3 exons. The record is from RefSeq and is a predicted model, not a curated record. NCBI's taxonomy places the organism in Eukaryota, Metazoa, Arthropoda, Insecta, Hymenoptera, Colletidae.
UUCUUUUUACGCUGUUCCGUUUUGCUCCGCUCUUCUCAUCGCGCUUCCUUUGCUCUACGUCGGAUCUAGCCUCGCUUCUUCGAGCCAUCCUUAACCCUUCCAGUGGCGUACGGCUCGCGUGGUGCGUUUUAAGUCGAUGGAAUUUGUUCGCGUAUUUAGCGUAAGUUCGCAGUCACCGCGGUGGUAAGCGAUACUCGAAUCGGCCCUUUGACGCUUUGACGCUUUCAGCCUUCCAAGUCGGGAAAUCCUCCAAGAAUCCAGCCGCACGAUAAUUAUGUAAACGAGAGAAUACGUCGUAGCGAAAAUCUGUCACGGGUCGAACAACGCGUAUUACGAUACCGAGGGAUCUAAAUACAGCGGUGGAAUGCAAUGGAACGCGCACUGUCUAUUUUUAGCGGGGCGGAUUCGAAAAUACACCCACCGCGGAUUAAAUAUAACUGAAUAUGCACGCGCGUGGAAUGCAGUACGACGGCACGCGAACACGGCAUCGGGUCGCUCGCAAAUAUGCAAAUCCUCGUAUCGAAAGCGCGACGGUUGCUCCCUUUUAUCGCGGAUCUCCAUAUUUACCGUCCGCGUAUUUUCGUUUCGAUCUUAUUUUGAACUCUUCUCUUGUAAACCCAUCUAUGGAGAGUUGAAGGUGGUGGAAAGGACUUGGAAAUAGGCUCGAAACGAGGCAAUCCCGUUCUGUUUACGUUGUAAAAUGUCCGCCUGCGAAAGCUUGAGUUCGCAUUACCGCUGGUUGUGGGCAGACGGUACUGUUGCUCGCAUUGUUAUUAUUUCGCGACCUUCGGGGCUCCUGAUCCAGGCCAAUAAAUCAAGUCACGUCUCCUUUCCGUUGCGCUCUAUGGGAAACGGAAAUCGAGGACGGUUGGAAAAAGCGAGGUUCAAAUACCUUAAAUUAUUCUUCGGACAAAUUGGCCUGGUCCGUGGGAGGCGUAGGCAGAGAUUUAUGCGCGUGCAACAGUUCCAAAGGGGGGUUAACGAGAAAACAGGAAGACGGCGUCGUUGAACAAUCGAGCGAUACCCCGCCUAAUCGCCUCCUCGAUUCUUCGCGCUUGUUGCCCCCGUCUGCGGUUAGUCAAAUCUCGCAUCGAUUCGUAAGAUAACGGGUGAUGUCAACAACAAUGUGAAAAUUACAGAUCGAUAAAAUUGACCACUGUGCGUCGCUUGCAUGCCUCUCACGGCUCACGGCUGAUUCCAGGGGUCGUUAAACUAAUCUCUGUUUACGUUCUCGAUCCCGAGUAUUCCAACGAUGCAAUAAAACGAGAAUCGCCACACGUCAUCGGGUCACGAAACGAGAGGGGAAAUAAAGGCAACGAAGAUGAAAGGAAAAACGUGAAGGG